RNAcentral lists this long non-coding RNA (1543 nucleotides) under Macaca fascicularis (crab-eating macaque). Its description in RNAcentral is "lncRNA (ENSMFAG00000048967.1)". The record is from RNAcentral. Lineage: Eukaryota; Metazoa; Chordata; Mammalia; Primates; Cercopithecidae.
AACUAUAACGCCACCAAAUGCCUCUUCUUUGUCAGAGGCCAAUCAAAUCUCCAUAAUCUUCUUCCUUUUAUUAUUAUAUUAACUGGAAAAAUGAUAAAGUGAACUUAUAACUUAUAACACUAAACUUAUAACAACAUCUACUUCCAUAAUAGGCAAGCAAAUGAAGGGCCCAGUGCCAUUAUUUUCUUUCUUUAUUCUCUCCUCUUUCUUUUUAAAUUGCUAAGUUGAAGAAGUUCCAAAGAUGAGGAAUUAUACACGUUUAACCACUUUCUCAAUGCAGAAAGCCUGCGUCUGGCAGUUGCUGGAAGGUAGUCACCAUUUUCUGCUCACCCUUUCUACCAGCACACAUGGCCCUGCCCCAUGUGCCUUUGCUGAGAACAGGGAACUGCUAAAUAAAUGCAUGCUGAGCAAAUGCAACCCAAACAAAUGAAAUCUGAAUAAAUGCAUCCUUAACAGAUCCAUCCUGGGCAAGUGCAACCUGAACAAAUGCAUCCGGAACAGAUGCAUCCCAAACAGUUGCAUCCUGAAUAAAUGCAUCCUUAACAAAUGCACCUGAACAAAUGCACCUUGAAUAAAUGCAUCCUGAACAAAUGCAGCCUGAAUAAUUGCAUCUUGAUUUUACAAUCAAAAUUCCACAGUGUUGUUUAUUUUGUUUGUUUGCUUAUUUUUUCUUAAGGAAUCACUAUCAUAUUUCAUAGUAAGCAUAUUUUUUUCCAAACAUGUUCUUAAAUAAUGAAGAUAAAAAUGCACAUCUGAAACCAUUUUAAGGAUUCAGCCAGCUCCUCUGCUUCAGUCAUGAGGGGGCAAUAAGAACAAAAAGCUGCUCCAGGCAUUUAGUAGUAGAAAAUUAAAGUUCCUCUAAAUUAGGUGGCUAUAUUCUCUCCCAGUCCAAUUACUAGCUUUAAUAUUUGUCAAUAAAAUACCAAAUAAAAGAUUAGUCUCCAGAUAAGGCAGCUGUUGCCAUUUGGACCCUGUGAUACUUCACAUUCUCAAACUGUGGUGUGGAAGCUGCUGAUUACAGCUUCAUAUCACUGACAGGUGCUGUAAGGCCCAAAUCUUAUGGACUUUUCUCUGGAAAGAAAAAUUAUAAUAAAAGAACAGAACAUAUACAUCAUAACAAGCUAAGAUUACACAAGAUGCUGUUUUAGGGACUUGUCACAUUUGAACUUGAGUUUUGGAACAUUCUUUGUAAUGAAUAAAAGUCACAGUGUAGGUAUAUGAUAGCUAGAAGUCAUUCUGGUUUGAGGCAGUAACUAAACUGCUUGCCAGAGCCUCACACAAUUCCUCCUAACUAGAUCACAUCUUGUUCCAUAGCAGCUGCUUCUCAUCACUUCCCUGCACAGAAGGGCAGCGGAUUACACGCCUUCGCUAUGGAGACCUAUGUAUCUCCUUGACAAUGUGCAGGAAAGCCCACCAUGUGGAAAAGACAAGUUUGCUCCUUUCCUUUGAAGAUAGAUAUAUGCUAAACUUACAGGAUCAUUAGGAUACCCUGUGAAAGAAUAGAUUUUCUUUAAGACUUUACUUCCCCUAAAGAAAAAAAAAA